Molecule: ribosomal RNA, 1002 nt
Filed under: Triticum aestivum (bread wheat)
Lineage: Eukaryota; Viridiplantae; Streptophyta; Magnoliopsida; Poales; Poaceae
Description: partial small subunit ribosomal RNA
Source: RNAcentral
AUGUAUUAUGCUCUUGAAGACGCAAAUGCAGAUGAUCCAGAUCAAAUAGAUCUCAAAACUAUUGGGGCUGAAAUUGCAAAGAAGCUGAAAGGAUCACCUCUAGCAGCCAGCACAGUGGGAGGACAACUACGUGCAAGACAAAAAGAUGUUGAAUUUUGGAGAGAACUUCGAGAUGGGGAUCUUGUGAAUGAGACGACAGGGGCACUGUGGUGGAGUUACCAGCAUCUUGAUGAGCAGGUCAGGCCAUGCUUUGCUUACUGCAGUAUUUUUCCCAGAAGACAUCGGCUCAACCGUGAUGAGUUGGUUAAAUUGUGGGUGGCAGAAGGGUUCAUACAAACUACUGAUGCAGAGAAGGACAUGGAAGCUGUUGGUUGGGAUUACUUUCAUGAGUUACUUUUUUUUUUUAAAAAGGGAGGAUGUUACCAAGGGAGUGAUUGCUAUAUUGUCCAUGAUCUUAUGCAUGAUUUAGCCGAGAAGGUGGCAGGGGGUGAUUGCUUCAGAAUAGAGAAUGGCUUGAGAACAAAAGUUCCUCGUCAUGUUCGCCAUCUUUAUGUUGCGAAUGCAGCAAUGGUUAUCAAGGACAUUUUCGAACUGGAAAACCUACGCACUCUCAUUGUUGAUGAUACGGAGUGGCUUGCAGCAGUUAACAAUAAAUUCUUUGAGAAAGUGUUCAAGAAACUGAAGAAAUUGCGGGUACUAGCUGUAGAAACCGUAUGGAAAGAUAAUUUCGAUCUGAAACUUCGUGAAAGUAUUGGUCAUUUAAAGCAUUUACGCUAUCUUGGUUUAGUGAUCUUCGAAGCAGGGCAUGUUUUUCCAAAAACAUUAGCCAAUCUUUACCAUUUGCAGGUGCUAAAGUUUUGUUAUUCAAGUGAUGUGCAAAUUUCCCCUGGUACAAAUAUGAGUAACCUCACCAACUUGCGGCAUAUUAUUUGCGAAAUGACAAUGCAUGUUCCGAACAUGGGCAGGAUAACAUCAUUACAAACAUUAGAAUGCUUUGAGUAA